Molecule: ribosomal RNA, 253 nt
Filed under: uncultured bacterium
Lineage: Bacteria
Description: partial 16S ribosomal RNA
Rfam family: Bacterial small subunit ribosomal RNA
Source: RNAcentral
UACAGAGGAGCCAAGCGUUGUCCGGAUUGACUGGGCGUAAAGCGCACGCAGGCGGUUGGUUAAGGCUGAUGUGAAAGCCCCGAGCUCAACUUGGGAAUGGCAUUGGAAACUGGCUGGCUAGAGUGUGGCAGAGGGGGGUGGAAUUCCGCGUGUAGCAGUGAAAUGCGUAGAGAUGCGGAGGAACACCGAUGGCGAAGGCAGCCCCCUGGGCUGACACUGACGCUCAGGCACGAAAGCGUGGGGAGCAAACAGG